Molecule: ribosomal RNA, 274 nt
Filed under: uncultured bacterium
Lineage: Bacteria
Description: partial 16S ribosomal RNA
Rfam family: Bacterial small subunit ribosomal RNA
Source: RNAcentral
AUACGGAGGGUGCAAGCGUUAUUCGGAAUCACUGGGCGUAAAGGACGCGUAGGCGGGUUGGCAAGUCAGAUGUGAAAUCCUACAGCUUAACUGUAGAACUGCAUUUGAAACUGCUAACCUAGAGUAUGGGAGGGGGAGAUGGAAUUAGUGGUGUAGGGGUAAAAUCCGUAGAUAUCACUAGGAAUACCGAAAGCGAAGACGAUCUCCUGGAACAUAACUGACGCUAAGGCGUGAAAGCGUGGGGAGCAAACAGGAUUAGAUACCCCAGUAGUCC